AUGUCGUCCAACAACCAAGUAGCAUCCCACAAUCCAGAGCAACCAGAUAAGCAAAGUCCGGCCAACCCGCCCGGCAGCAACAAGCCUUCAACAGAGUACCAGCUGAAGACACAGCUUCUACUGCUGGCCACUCUGGUUGCGACCGUGACGUAUGCAGCGGGGCUCAACCUGCCAGGGGGAGUCUGGCAGGACACACAGGAUGGACACUUCGCAGGCGAUCCGAUCCUUCCAGACACGCACUACCACCGGUACCUUGCAUUCUACUACUGCAACGCGACUGCAUUCGCGGCAUCACUUGUGGCCUGCCUCCUUCUCCUUGUUCUUGAUGAGGCGAAGGACAACAGUGUCUGGGCAACUGUGCUGCGGGCGGUCAUGGUGCUCGAUUUACUUGGCCUCAUGGGAGCUUAUGCUGCUGGAAGCUGCCGGGAUGAUUUUACAACCAUCUACUCCUCAGUGUUAGUCUCUUCCGUCUUCGCCUACAUCAUAUAUGUCUUUGUAACCUAUGCCUUCCGGUGGGCGUUCCCCAAGAGUAGAGAAGGCAAGGCUCCUGAGAAGCAAGACAAGGAUCCUGAGAAGCAAGACAAGGACCCUGAGAAGCAAAACAAGGAUCCUGAUGUAAACAAGCGUGAAGAGGAGCACGAGGUAUUGAUGCUACUAGCAACCUUUGCGGUUACCAUCACAUACGUGGCUGGACUGGGCCCACCUGGUGGAUUCUGGGGCAACAGCCAGGAUGGCCACCGUGUGAGCGACCCAAUUAUGCAGGACCACAACUCCAGCCGGUAUCAGGCAUUCUUCGUGUGCAAUAGCACUGCAUUUGUUGCGUCCUUGCUCAUCAUUGUGCUGCUCCUGGACAAGAAGCUGAGCCAGAGAAUCUCUAAAAGGUUUGUUGCACUGUAUGGGUUCAUCGCGGUGGCGCUCAUUGGCCUUGUGGGGGCCUAUGCUGCAGGAAGCUGCAGGGAAGCUGAUAAUACCAUCUAUGUAGUUUUUCUGGCUGGUGCGGUUCUUGCAUAUAUAUUUCUACAGAUGGCUAUCACUGAAGCCAUGAACAAGACGAACAAGAAGGAUCGUGUCUCAGACACUGUGGCCCGGGCUCUCGUGGACAAGAAGGAUAGUUGGGACCAUAAAGUACUCACAUCCAUACGUGAUCGUACUUCAGAAUGGCUGAAGCAAAUAAAAGACUGGUUUCAUACAGCUUUUAGCACUAGCAGGGACAGAGGAUCUGACAAAGUAUUGGAAAAGAAUCGCUCUCUUGUCAUGUUGCUUGCUACUCUUGUGGUGAGCAUCACUUACCAGGCAGGACUAGAUCCACCAGGUGGCCUAUGGCCAGAUGACCAGGAAGAGCAUAAGGGCGGUGACCCAGUACUCCUCACAACUCAUCCUACUCGGUACAAGGUGUUCUUCUAUAGCAACUCAGCCGCCUUUGUGACAUCCCUAGUCGUCAUCAUAAUGGUUCAAAGUAGAUUUCUACUUCAGCGCCAUACAUUGCACGCAGCCAUGCUACUGGAUUUGUUUGGCCUCAUAAUUGCAUACGCUGCAGGGAGCAAUAGGGAUUCAAGCACCUCCAUCUAUGUUGUCGCCUUGGCAGGUGUUGUCCUUGUGUAUGUGGUGAUUCAUAUAGUAUUCUUCACAUUAGAAGAGCACACGGACAAAAACCAAGAUCCCGAUAAGUUGGAUAAUAGGCGCGAGAUGUUGCUGCUGCUUGCAAUCUUGGCUGCAACACUCACUUACCAAGCUGGGCUGACCCCACCAGGUGGCUUCUGGUCAGCAGAUGACAAGUUUGGUCAUCAUGCUGGAUUUCCAGUCCUCCUUGAUAACUAUCCUCGUCGUUACAAUGCAUUCUUCUACUGCAAUGCAGCAAGCUUCAUGGCAUCUGUAACUCUCAUAGUUCUUCUUGUGAACCCCACCCUAUACAAGCCGGGCAUACGGUGUUAUGCACUCUAUGUGUGCAUGGUGAUGGGCAUGUUUGGCCUCAUGGGUGCAUAUGCUGCUGGAAGCUCCCGACAUGUACGAACCUCCAUCUAUGUGUUAACUUUAGUGGCUGCAGUGUUCGCCUUCGUCACCUUUCAGGUGCUCAUUUUCUGGAUACAAAACUGGAGGAAAGGGCAGCCUAAAGAGGAAGGCUCGGACUUAAAUGCCAUGGGAGUGCCAACCCCUGCUGCAGCUACUAGUCAAGUUUCACCAUUCCAUGUUCGUGGUGCGCAGCCUACCCCCCCUGAUCCUGUAGAUGGGUCCUCUGGGCAAGAAGGUAUCACCAGUGAGUCUUCUGAACCAGUUGCUGGUGACAUGGGGACGGAAGAAAAGGGAACAGAAGAUAAGGUAACAGAAGAUAAGGGAACAGAAGAAAAGGACCUUCGUGAAUACUUGAUGCUGCUAGGAGUCCUGGCUGCGAGUGUAACAUACCAGUCUGGUUUGAAACCACCAGGUGGCCUCUGGCAGGACAACAACAAUGGACAUACUGCUGGCAACUCAAUCCUCCAUGACAUCGCCAAAGGCCGGUACCGUGCGUUCUUCUAUAGCAACUCCACUUCGUUUAUGGCUUCUAUUGUCGUCAUUGUCUUGCUACUUCCAGUAAACAAGCACAAGUUCCCACUGUGGCCAAUGCAUACUGCCAUUUUGCUAGACAUGCUAGGCCUCCUUGGAGCCUACGCAGCAGGCAGUACCAAGGAGUGGGAGAUGUCCAGGAAUGUCAUUGCUCUGGUCGUUCCUGUGCUGGCCUAUAUUGCAGCCUAUGCGGCAGUGUCAUUCUUCAGCAAGAAGGGCAGUGUGCCAACGGAAAUUCUGCAUGAACAAUCGCAAUGA
Molecule: ribosomal RNA, 2799 nt
Filed under: Triticum aestivum (bread wheat)
Lineage: Eukaryota; Viridiplantae; Streptophyta; Magnoliopsida; Poales; Poaceae
Description: partial small subunit ribosomal RNA
Source: RNAcentral